RNAcentral lists this ribosomal RNA (460 nucleotides) under uncultured bacterium. RNAcentral describes it as "partial 16S ribosomal RNA". It matches the Rfam family "Bacterial small subunit ribosomal RNA", at positions 28 to 523 of the family's 1533-position model. The record is from RNAcentral.
GGUGGACGCGAGCGGCGUGCCUUAAGCAUGCAAGUCGAACGGUGAUAGCAAUAUUACAGUGGCGGACGGGUGAGUAAUACCUAGGAAUCUACCCUAAAGUGAGGAAUAACCAGCCGAAAGGUUGGCUAAUACCACAUGUGAACGCAAGUUCAAAGCUCGUAACUGGGCGCUUUUGGAGGAGCCUAGAUCCCAUCAGCUUGUUGGUAGGGUAAAAGCCUACCAAGGCUAUGACGAUCCGUAGCUGGUCUGAGAGGAUGACCAGCAUCACUGGGACUGAGACACGGCCCAGACUCCUACGGGAGGCAGCAGUGGGGAAUAUUGGACAAUGGGCGCAAGCCUGAUCCAGCCAUGCCGCGUGGAUGAUGAAGGCCCUAGGGUUGUAAAGUCCUUUUAACGGGGAAGAUAAUGACGGUACCCGUAGAAUAAGCCCCGGCUAACUUCGUGCCAGCCGCCGCCGUAA